CAGGACAAAACUUAAUGAUGUUUUUUCUACCACAGGAUUACUGAGAUUUCGUGUGAAGAAAACUGUGGUUACAGGCUAUAUGUUGAUGAUGAAAUUACACUGUGUUGUUGAGAAAAUGUUGGAGAAAAUAUGAAUGUUACAGGGAAGAAGUAAAUACAGUGUGAUGAGACCAGUGUUAACUUUAUGACCUUUUACAGCACCUCUGGAAUCUGGAUGGCCGACACCUGACAACCAGGUUGAACCGUGUGUUUGUUUUUCUUUAAGAGUGCUUGUAAAGGAUUCAGCACAGACAGACAUGUGACAAUUGAACAGAUGUGCAGUGGUUACAGAAUAGUUACAUGGGGUUCAUUAUCUGACCACUAUUGGGCUCAUGGUGAGUGACAAACUUAAGGAAAGUCACUGAUUACAAUGUGGAAUGACGUUGAGAUGUUAAAUGAUUUGGAACAAAUUAUGGAAAAAAGCAGGAGCUUAAUGAGUUUAGAAUAAACCUGCAAUGAUACUUGUCUCUGUGAUGCUGAAUACUUUAUUACACUUAUGAGCUGCAGUUGGUUGCAAAUGUGAAGUUGUUUUAACUUUAAGACUUCGUCUUCUAGGAUACAGGCUGGAGCUGGGAGUUAAACAAGCUAAACAUUUAAUUGCUGACUAAUGUGUUUUUACACAGGAUUACAGGUUGAAGUGAAGCUGCUCCAAGGACAAACCCUGGAGAUUGUUUUAGGGAGACUGUGCAACAUUCUUGUACAUGUCUCAUUGGGGAGUUGACACAUGGCAGAAGCCAUGUGGCGAGAGGAGUGUCAUUUUUCUAAUGUGUAGAUGUCGUGAGGUGCCAUGACAAGAAGGAGUGGCUGAGGGGAUCGUCCACAAGAUGGAAGCUGAGGCCUGGAGAGAGUCUUCAGGAGGAUCAGAGAUCACCUUCAGCACAGCAGACAUCGCGCAGAGAGCUGUGCUACUGGGCUUCCAGGAGAUCGUCAUGAGGAGACUCUGCACAGCAAAAUCUUAAAUAAGAUGAAAGACUUUCGACAUUGACGUUGAGGAAGACAACUAAGGUGUACGACGUGCUCUGCCUUUAAAAUCUUCAGCAACGUUGGAUCAUGAGAACCUGAGGGAGCGUGCCAAGCUCCAAAAAGUGACAGCGCAGAGGAGGUCCAGCGAUGGACUUGUGGUUCUGUGAACAGCACAAAUGCCAGGACUUUCUGCAAAGUUUGGAUGCAUUCACCGGAGCGAACGGAUGACUGAAAAAAACAAAAACCACUGUCUGACAAGACUGCAGCUUUGCGUUUCUGCCACAGCUCUCAUUUACGUUUCAGCAUGGGAGACUUGACUGAAUUCCUGAAACAAAGAGAAGUCUCUGAGGAAAUUAUACAGACCUUGGAGAAUGAGAAGAUUGAUGCCAGUGUCAUAAGUCUAAUGACAGAUGAGGAGCUGAAGACUUAUUUGCCAUCAUAUGGUGAUCGUCUAGCAGUAU
Long non-coding RNA from Oreochromis niloticus (Nile tilapia), 1462 nucleotides. RefSeq lists it as uncharacterized. Lineage: Eukaryota; Metazoa; Chordata; Actinopteri; Cichliformes; Cichlidae. The transcript is spliced from 4 exons. The record is from RefSeq and is a predicted model, not a curated record.